Molecule: long non-coding RNA, 1961 nt
Filed under: Capsicum annuum
Lineage: Eukaryota; Viridiplantae; Streptophyta; Magnoliopsida; Solanales; Solanaceae
Description: long non-coding RNA (CANN_LNC010085)
Source: RNAcentral
UUUUUUCAUUUUUUUAAGCAUUAUCUGGGGAGUUGAGAUCUAGAUCUCAUAUCUUCAAUUCUAUAUUUCUUUUUAUUUUCUUUUAUCCUUUAUCAAUUUUUCCAUCUCUAGAAACUCUUUGUAACCUAGUAUUUUGGGGAAUUAAGCAAAUCAUCUGGAUCUAAUCAUUCCUUCUCUAUUUAAGAUUCAAGAACAAAUUCCUGUAAGCUUUGUAAGUAAAUUUUUAAUUUAUUUAUUAAUAAUACAAAGCUUCUUUCUAUUUCUUCUAUGGAAUUUGUGGCUAAGCUUCCAUAACUAGGGUUAUGGGAGACUUGAUGUCAACAACUGAUUUGGGAUGUGAAAUUAAUUGAGUUCCAUGAUAAAUUGAUGUUGUAUAAAUGUUUCUUCACUUUAAUGACUUUUCUUAGUUGCAAAUCGGAAAAGUGAGCCCAAGAACAUCACUUGUCUAAGAGGAAAGUGCUUGUUCGGAAAAGAAUGGGUUUACAUGGACUCUAAGGACUUUAAUCUCUAGAUUAAUGAAAAAUUCCAUAACCAAAUUGGCCUACAUAAGAGAACAGUUUAAUAACCAAUGCAUUAUUUACGUUUGAGAUAAUUAAAGGAUAAGCUGCCCACUGAGGUUGAGAAAUGAAUGGGCAAAAUAAACGGAUUUUACUACUCUUGCAAUUGAAGUUGUCAGUUGGAACUCUAAAUUGAUUCACAACCCUAGCUUUUCAAGCAUCUUUUUAACCAUAAUUCUAGUUUGUUUAAUAUAAUUGAAUUACUACUUCCGAAAAGGAUCAUUAGAUAGAAUAACUCUAUUACAAUUAGUUAGAACAUAAUUCACAAAUUUAUAAAAACCAAUUUUAUCUUUUCGUAUCAUUUUUUGAAUUUAACUUGUUGCUAUAGUUUCAAAUUAGUUUAAUCGUCACUCACAUUAUUCCUCCUAGAUUUGACCCCGACUCCCAAGUUGGGUAAAUAUAUUGACGACGAACGCCUUAUACUAAAUUGAUGUGUAAGUUGAGCGAUAUGAAAUUUUGGCAUUGCUGCAUUGGGAAUAUGGUUGUCAAUUAAGUUUGUGUUUAUUAAAUAAACUUUGGUCAAGUUUUACAAAUUUUACUUUUGUUUGUGCAGGAGAGCUGUUAUGCAUGACAAGUGCAUGGAGAUUAGGAGCACCAUUAGUACCAAUACAUCUGGGCCACAAAUUUUUUGAUGGACCAUCAAGUCCAAACAGAAUCGAGAAAUUCAGAACACUCAGAGAAAGUUAAAAUGGUGGACCACUAGUUUUGCGGUGCGCCACCAAUUUGACCACAAGAUUUAGGAUUUCAGAAGACCCACUGUUGGUCAAAAUGGUUAACCACCAAUUUUGUGGUGGACCACCAACUGACCUGCAGACCCAAACAGAAUCCAGGAUUUUAGAAUACCCUGGAAAGGUUAAAAUGGUGUACCACCAGUUUCGCGGUGGACCACUAAUUUGGCCACCAAUUUGGACAACAUUUUUCUAAAUGUAAAUGUUAAAUCCUUUUUUCCUUGGAACUUUUAAAUACCAGUUUUAGGUUUUAUUAAGCAUUAUCUAGGGAGUUGAGAUACAGAUCUCAUAUCUUCAAAUCUCUCUUUCUUUUUAUUUUCUCUUUAUUUUCUUUUAUCCUUUAUCAAUUUUUCCAUGUCUAGAAACUCUUUGUAACCUAGUAUUUUGGGAAUUAAGCAAAUCUUGUGUAUCUAAUCAUUCCAUCUCUAUUCAAGAUUAAAGAACAAAUUCUUGUCACCUUUGAAAGUAAAUCUUGAAUUUAUUUAUGAAUAAUACAAAGUUGCUUUCUAUUUCUUCUAUGUAAAUGUGUGGCUAAGCUCCCAUAACUAGGGUUAUGAGAGCCUUGACGUGAAAAACUAAUUUUGGUUAUGAAUCUAAUUGAGUUCUAUGAGUAAUUGAUGUUGUAUAAACCUUUCUUCACUUUAAUGACUUUUCUAGAUUGUAAACUUGAAAAGUG